ACCAGACUCCUACGGGAGGCAGCAGUGGGGAAUAUUGGGCAAUGGGCGCAAGCCUGACCCAGCAACGCCGCGUGAAGGAAGAAGGCUUUCGGGUUGUAAACUUCUUUUAUGAGGGACGAAACAAAUGACGGUACCUCAUGAAUAAGCCACGGCUAACUACGUGCCAGCAGCCGCGGUAAUACGUAGGUGGCAAGCGUUAUCCGGAUUUACUGGGUGUAAAGGGGGCGCAGACGGCGAUGCAAGCCAGGAGUGAAAGCCCGGGGCCCAACCCCGGGACUGCUCUUGGAACUGCGUGGCUGGAGUGCAGGAGGGGCAGGCGGAAUUCCUGGUGUAGCGGUGAAAUGCGUAGAUAUCAGGAGGAACACCGGUGGCGAAGGCGGCCUGCUGGACUGGAACUGACGUUGAGGCCCGAAAGCGUGGGGAGCAAACAGGAUUAGAUACCCUAGUACG
Molecule: ribosomal RNA, 450 nt
Filed under: uncultured bacterium
Lineage: Bacteria
Description: bacterial SSU rRNA
Rfam family: Bacterial small subunit ribosomal RNA
Source: RNAcentral